UGGCUCAGACGGUAAAGCGUCUGUCUGCAAUGCAGGAGACCCAGGUUCAAUCCCUGG
Non-coding RNA from Bos taurus (domestic cattle), 57 nucleotides. Lineage: Eukaryota; Metazoa; Chordata; Mammalia; Artiodactyla; Bovidae. The record is from Rfam.